This 665-nucleotide ribosomal RNA is filed under the name uncultured marine euryarchaeote. RNAcentral describes it as "bacterial SSU rRNA". It matches the Rfam family "Archaeal small subunit ribosomal RNA", at positions 205 to 871 of the family's 1478-position model. The record is from RNAcentral. Lineage: Archaea; Methanobacteriati; Methanobacteriota.
GCAUAGAGGGCUGCGCCUAUCAGCUGUAGGGGGUGUAAAUACCCUCUAGCCAUCAACGCGUACCGGUUGUUGGGAGACAUUGCCCCGGAGAUGGAGUCUGAGACACGAAUCCAGACCAUACGGGGUGCAGCAGGCGCGAAAACUUGGCAAUGCGAGAAAUCGUGACCAGGGAACUCCAAGUGCGUAGGGUAAGACCUACGCUUUUCUUGACUCUUCAAAGGUCUUGGAAUAAGGGGUGGGUAAGGACGGUGCCAGCCGCCGCGGUAAUACCGGCGCCUCAAGUGGUAGUCGCUUUUAUUGGGCCUAAAACGUCCGUAGCCGGUCUGGUGCAUUCGUGGGUAAAUCAACCCGCUCAACGGGUUGAAUUCUGCGAGCACGGCCAGACUUGGGACCGGGAGAGGUGUGGGGUACUCUCAGGGUAGGGGUAAAAUCCUGUCAUCCUGAGAGGACCACCUGUUGCGAAGGCGCCACACUAGAACGGAUCCGACGGUCAGGGACGAAACCUAGGGGCACGAACCGGAUUAGAUACCCGGGUAGUCCUAGGUGUAAACGCUGUGGACUUGAUUUUGGGGGCGCUCCGAGCGCUCUCAGUGUCGAAGCGAAGGUGAUAAGUCCACUGCCUGGGGAGUUACGUUCGCAAGGCUGAAACUCAAAUGAAUUGACGG